AUACGGAGGGUGCAAGCGUUACUCGGAAUCACUGGGCGUAAAGCGCGCGCAGGCGGGCUGAUAAGUUGGACGUGAAAGCCUACGGCUCAACCGUAGAACUGCAUCCAAAACUGUCAGUCUAGAGUCUGGGAGGGGAAGAUGGAAUUAGUUGUGUAGGGGUAAAAUCCGUAGAGAUAACUAGGAAUACCAAAAGCGAAGGCGAUCUUCUGGAACAGUACUGACGCUGAGGCGCGAAAGCGUGGGGAGCAAACAGGAUUAGAAACCCUAGUAGUCC
RNAcentral lists this ribosomal RNA (274 nucleotides) under uncultured bacterium. RNAcentral describes it as "partial 16S ribosomal RNA". It matches the Rfam family "Bacterial small subunit ribosomal RNA", at positions 523 to 796 of the family's 1533-position model. The record is from RNAcentral.